GAAGGGACCUAGCGUAGUUCGGAAUUACUGGGCUUAAAGAGCACGUAGGUGGUUAAGAAAGUUGGUGGUGAAAUCCCAAGGCUUAACCUUGGAACUGCCACCAAAACUUUUUAACUAGAGUAUGAUUGAGGUAAGCGGAAUUUCUAGUGUAGAGGUGAAAUUCGUAGAUAUUAGAAAGAACACCAAUUGCGAAGGCAGCUUUCUGGAUCAUUACUGACACUGAGGUGCGAAAGCAUGGGUAGCGAAGAGGAUUAGAUACCCUCGUAGUCCAUGCCGUAAACGAUGUGUGCUAGACGUUGGGAAUUUAUUUUUCAGUGUCGCAGCAAAAGCGUUAAGCACACCGCCUGGGGAGUACGACCGCAAGGUUAAAACUCAAAUGAAUUGACGGGGACCCGCACAAGUAGUGGAGCAUGUGGUUUAAUUCGAAGAUACGCGCAGAACCUUACCAACACUUGACAUGUUCGUCGCGAACUCAAGAGAUUGGGUUUUUCAGUUUGGCUGGACGAAACACAGGUGCUGCAUGGCUGUCGUCAGCUCGUGUCGUGAGAUGUUGGGUUAAGUCCCGCAACGAGCGCAACCCUUACUUUUAGUUGCUACCAUUUAGUUGGGCACUCUAAAAGAACUGCCGGUGAUAAGCUGGAGGAAGGUGGGGAUGACGUCAAGUCCUCAUGGCCCUUAUGUGUUGGGCUACACACGUGCUACAAUGGUAUUUACAGAGGGAAGCUAAGAGGCAACUCCAAGCUAAUCCCAAAAAGAUACCUCAGUUCGGAUUGUACUCUGCAACUCGAGUACAUGAAGCUGGAAUUACUAGUAAUCGCGGAUCAGCGCGCCGCGGUGAAUACGUUCCCGGGUCUU
This 855-nucleotide ribosomal RNA is filed under the name uncultured Alphaproteobacteria bacterium. RNAcentral's name for it is "bacterial SSU rRNA". It matches the Rfam family "Bacterial small subunit ribosomal RNA", at positions 527 to 1382 of the family's 1533-position model. Lineage: Bacteria; Pseudomonadati; Pseudomonadota; Alphaproteobacteria. The record is from RNAcentral.